This 428-nucleotide ribosomal RNA is filed under the name uncultured Bacteroidota bacterium. RNAcentral's name for it is "bacterial SSU rRNA". It matches the Rfam family "Bacterial small subunit ribosomal RNA", at positions 545 to 975 of the family's 1533-position model. Lineage: Bacteria; Pseudomonadati; Bacteroidota. The record is from RNAcentral.
CCGGAUUUAUUGGGUUUAAAGGGUGCGUAGGUGGGCUUAUAAGUCAGCGGUGAAAUCCCCCGGCUCAACCAGGGAAUUGCCGUUGAUACUGUUAGCCUUGAGUACAGUUGAAGUGGGCGGAAUGUAGCAUGUAGCGGUGAAAUGCAUAGAUACGCUACAGAACACCAAUAGCGAAGGCAGCUCACUAAGUUGUAACUGACACUAAUGCACGAAAGCGUGGGGAUCAAACAGGAUUAGAUACCCUGGUAGUCCACGCUGUAAACGAUGAUCACUCGUUGUUGGCGAUAUACAGUCAGCGACUGAACGAAAGUAUUAAGUGAUCCACCUGGGGAGUACGAUCGCAAGGUUGAAGCUCAAAGGAAUUGACGGGGGCCCGCACAAGCGGUGGAGCAUGUGGUUUAAUUCGAUGAUACGCGAGGAACCUUACC